This 252-nucleotide ribosomal RNA is filed under the name uncultured bacterium. Its description in RNAcentral is "partial 16S ribosomal RNA". It matches the Rfam family "Bacterial small subunit ribosomal RNA", at positions 524 to 776 of the family's 1533-position model. The record is from RNAcentral.
UACGAAGGGUGCAAGCGUUACUCGGAAUUACUGGGCGUAAAGCGUGCGUAGGUGGUUUGUUAAGUCUGUUGUGAAAGCCCCGGGCUCAACCUGGGAAUGGCAAUGGAUACUGGCAGGCUAGAGUGCGGUAGAGGUAGUGGAAUUCCCGGUGUAGCGGUGAAAUGCGUAGAGAUCGGGAGGAACACCAGUGGCGAAGGCGGCCACCUGGACGGUAACUGACGCUGAGACGCGAAAGCGUGGGGAGCAAACAGG